UAAAUGUUUUGGUACUGGCUCAGGAUGAACGCUGGCGGUCUGCUUAACACAUGCAAGUCGAACGGAAUCCUUCGGGAUUUAGUGGCGGACGGGUGAGUAACACGUGAGAAUCUGCACUCAGGAUGGGGACAACAGCGGGAAACUGCUGCUAAUACCCAAUGUGCCGAAAGGUAAAAGAUUUAUCGCCUGAGAAUGAGCUCGCGGCCGAUUAGUUAGUUGGUGGGGUAAUGGCCUACCAAGACGGCGAUCGGUAGCUGGUCUGAGAGGAUGAGCAGCCACACUGGGACUGAGACACGGCCCAGACUCCUACGGGAGGCAGCAGUGGGGAAUUUUCCGCAAUGGGCGCAAGCCUGACGGAGCAAGACCGCGUGGGGGAGGAAGGCUCUUGGGUUGUAAACCCCUUUUCUCAGGGAAGAAGUUCUGACGGUACCUGAGGAAUCAGCCUCGGCUAACUCCGUGCCAGCAGCCGCGGUAAUACGGAGGAGGCAAGCGUUAUCCGGAAUUAUUGGGCGUAAAGCGUCCGUAGGUGGUGGGGCAAGUCGGCGGUUAAAGACUGGGGCUUAACUCCAGAAAGGCCGUGGAAACUGCACCACUAGAGGGCAGUAGGGGUAGAGGGAAUUCCCGGUGUAGCGGUGAAAUGCGUAGAGAUCGGGAAGAACACCAGUGGCGAAAGCGCUCUACUGGACUGCAACUGACACUCAGGGACGAAAGCUAGGGGAGCGAAUGGGAUUAGAUACCCCAGUAGUCCUAGCCGUAAACGAUGAUACUACGUCCCG
Molecule: ribosomal RNA, 776 nt
Filed under: Planktothricoides raciborskii
Lineage: Bacteria; Bacillati; Cyanobacteriota; Cyanophyceae; Oscillatoriales; Oscillatoriaceae
Description: bacterial SSU rRNA
Rfam family: Bacterial small subunit ribosomal RNA
Source: RNAcentral